CCCGGNGGAUAUAGUUUAAACGGUUGCUGUUGAUAGCAGUACGAAGGUAGCGCAGUAAAUCGUCCUUUGAUUGGGGAAUAGUAUGAAUGGUUUGACGUGAGAAGGCCUGUCUCGGUCUCACAGGUUGAAAUUUACUUUUGCGUGAAAAGGCGUGAAUAUACACAUUAGACGAGAAGACCCCGUCGAGCUUGAUAAAGUGCAGGGAGUAGGUUCUUGUUUGAAGUUUAGUUGGGGUGACUGGAUGCAAAAUUAACGUAUCUUUAUUGUUUAUGGUGGAGAUCCUUUAUUAAAGAUAAGAAGAAAAAGCUACCGCGGGGAUAACAGCGUUAUGUUUCUGGAGAGAUCUUAUUGAAGGAAAAAGUUGCGACCUCGAUGUUGAAUUAGGGUUUCAUCUCGGCGCAGCCGUUGGGAUUGUGGGACUGUUCGUCCUUUAAAACCUUACGUGAUCUGA
RNAcentral lists this ribosomal RNA (451 nucleotides) under Psiloteredo healdi. RNAcentral's name for it is "partial 16S ribosomal RNA". It matches the Rfam family "Bacterial large subunit ribosomal RNA", at positions 1905 to 2608 of the family's 2925-position model. The record is from RNAcentral. Lineage: Eukaryota; Metazoa; Mollusca; Bivalvia; Myida; Teredinidae.